RNAcentral lists this ribosomal RNA (462 nucleotides) under Triticum aestivum (bread wheat). RNAcentral describes it as "partial small subunit ribosomal RNA". Lineage: Eukaryota; Viridiplantae; Streptophyta; Magnoliopsida; Poales; Poaceae. The record is from RNAcentral.
AUGGCCAACAGCAACCUCCCCCGCCGGAUCAUCAAGGAGACGCAGCGGCUGCUCAGCGAGCCAGCGCCGGGGAUCAGCGCCUCACCGUCGGAGGAGAACAUGCGCUACUUCAAUGUCAUGGUCCUUGGCCCCGCGCAGUCUCCCUACGAAGGUGGAGUCUUCAAGCUUGAACUUUUCUUACCCGAGGAAUAUCCGAUGGCUGCUCCUAAAGUUAGGUUUCUCACAAAAAUAUACCAUCCCAACAUUGACAAGCUUGGUAGAAUAUGCCUCGACAUCCUAAAGGACAAGUGGAGUCCAGCUCUUCAGAUACGCACUGUUCUUCUGAGCAUUCAGGCACUGCUGAGCGCCCCAAACCCAGAUGAUCCUCUCUCAGAAAACGUCGCAAAACACUGGAAAUCCAAUGAAGCUGAAGCUGUUGAGACAGCGAAGGAAUGGACUCGUAUGUAUGCCAGUGGCGCAUGA